Molecule: ribosomal RNA, 497 nt
Filed under: uncultured bacterium
Lineage: Bacteria
Description: partial 16S ribosomal RNA
Rfam family: Bacterial small subunit ribosomal RNA
Source: RNAcentral
GACGAACGCUGGCGGCGUGCCUAAUACAUGCAAGUAGAACGCUGAAGGAAGGAGCUUGCUCUUUCCGGAUGAGUUGCGAACGGGUGAGUAACGCGUAGGUAACCUGCCUGGUAGCGGGGGAUAACUAUUGGAAACGAUAGCUAAUACCGCAUAACAGUAGAUGUUGCAUGAUAUCUACUUAAAAGGUGCAAUUGCACCACUACCAGAUGGACCUGCGUUGUAUUAGCUAGUUGGUGAGGUAACGGCUCACCAAGGCGACGAUACAUAGCCGACCUGAGAGGGUGAUCGGCCACACUGGGACUGAGACACGGCCCAGACUCCUACGGGAGGCAGCAGUAGGGAAUCUUCGGCAAUGGACGGAAGUCUGACCGAGCAACGCCGCGGGAGUGAAGAAGGGUUUCGGAUCGUAAAGCUCUGUUGUAAGAGAAGAACGAGUGUGAGAGUGGAAAGUUCACACUGUGACGGUAUCUUACCAGAAAGGGACGGCUAACUACGUG